CUCCCGAUCUCAUCUGAUCUCGGAAG
Ribosomal RNA from Ictidomys tridecemlineatus (thirteen-lined ground squirrel), 26 nucleotides. Lineage: Eukaryota; Metazoa; Chordata; Mammalia; Rodentia; Sciuridae. The record is from Ensembl.